Molecule: long non-coding RNA, 1738 nt
Organism: Cebus imitator (Panamanian white-faced capuchin)
Lineage: Eukaryota; Metazoa; Chordata; Mammalia; Primates; Cebidae
Exons: 2
Source: RefSeq, a predicted model, not a curated record
UUUUUUUUUUUUUUUUUUUUUUUUUUGUCUUAAACUGGUGGUUUCUUACUGAAGGUGUUCUCCAUUUGAAAUUUUCUUUACAAAAUCUGUUCAAAAUAUUUUAAGUAGUAUCUUAAGACACAACUUGUUAGUAUAAGUGUUACAUGAGUUGGAACAGUAGUUCUCAGAUUUGUCUGAAUGUAAAUCAGCUGGGAAUCUUUCAAGUUAUUUUGAAAUUAAACCACAAUCUGAGGGUGGAACACCUUAGUAAUCCUUAAAGUUCCUCCACGUGAUUCCAGGUUUGGUCACCAUUAUCUUAGAGCAUCUACUGACUUCCUCUAGCCUCUGGGUUUGUCCAAGAUCUUGUAGUGAGUUACGGAAUACUAAAGUGGACAUAGAAGUGGUCAGAUUGACUGAAACUGUAUCUGGAAUUGAAGGUGAGUUCAGAUUUUGUUUCUAUGGAACCUGGUCCAAAAAACUACGAAGUCCUUAGCUUGUUUCCUGUGGUAUUGAUGCUGAAAUAAGAUGACAAUGGGUUGUAAAAUAAUAUGCAAGUAUAAGGAAUUAUCUGACAUUCCAAAUUUCUAGUAUUAUUAAGACUUUUUUCACUAAACCUUAGAAAAAAAUUACCAGUACAACUACUGGUAGUGUAUUUGUGCAUUUGCACAAAAGAUAUAAUUUUUCUCUUAUUACAUUUCAAGUUUAUGAUGCAUUAAGCAUUUUCCAUAUUUUGAUGUAUUUUUGCUUUGGUUUACCAUCCAUUUUAGUGGCUACAGAAUGUAGUGCACUUUAAUAGAUGGGAAUUCCUAGGGUUUUUAAAUACUAGACUAUUUAAGACAAAAUACAAAGCAAUUAUUCAGAAAAAUCCAGGUGCCUGGCAGGUUACUAGAGGACUGAAACCUAGGUUCUUGGCUAAGUAUUCUCGUUUAUACUGUUUCUCCUUCCCAUUGCCUAAGCACAGCACAAACUAUGUAAUUAUAUGUAAUUACAGUUGACCCUUGAACAACAUAGGUUUGAACUGUGUGGGUCCACUUACACACGGGUUUUCUUCCACCCCUGAGAUGGCAAGACCAACCCAUUGUCUUCCUCAGCCUACUCAACAUGAAGAUGACGAGGAUGAAGACCUUUAUGAUGAUCCACUAAUUAAAUAAAAGAAGUAAACUGUGUCAGCUUCUUUGUGGAUCAAAAUCAGAAGACCAAGAGGAACCAGGUUCCAAUUUCUUUUCAACUAAAAUACUUUUAGACUUGCUUUUAUUCCUCUCUGUUCUGAGCCUUGUGAGAAAACUGCACAGUAAGCUUCUUGUGUCUAAUCUCUACAGUGUCUACUCCAAUCUCAGCCCUUUGUGGCCUAUUCAGGAAGGCAGGAACAACUUCUAAAGUAAAUCAACAAGAAGCCAUAAUUAAAGAAGGCAUCACACUGACCUCUCUGCACAUUAAACACCAGAAGACCAUGGAGGAAUGUUACUGAACUGAGAAACAACUUAGAAAAACACUUCUAUUUACAGAGACUUGGAAAAUAUAUCACUCAUGUUACCACUUGGGAAAAUAUUCUCAAAAGACAUGCUUCAUUCAAAUAAAAAGCGAACUGAAAUAAAGAAACAAGACCCAAGAGGUCUAACUCUAUGAAAAGUCUGAGCUUCAGGGCAAGCUCAAACUCUUCAAAAAUGAGGACAAUUGACAGUAGCUUAUCUGGUGAUUAACAGCAGCAAUUUAAUGUAAUGAGAAAAAAAGCCAAUUGUAAAGUUCGUAUCUUUCUUUA